Molecule: ribosomal RNA, 508 nt
Filed under: uncultured bacterium
Lineage: Bacteria
Description: bacterial SSU rRNA
Rfam family: Bacterial small subunit ribosomal RNA
Source: RNAcentral
GACGAACGCUGGCGGCGUGGAUUAGGCAUGCAAGUCGAACGGUAUCAUCCUUUCGGGGGUGAGAGAGUGGCGAACUGGUGAGUAACACGUAGGUUAUCUACCCUCAAGACGGGGACAACCCAGGGAAACUUGGGCUAAUACCGGAUGUGAGCAACUUUUAGUUGUUUGAAAGGUGGCGUAAGCUGUCGCUUGGGGAUGAGCCUGCGUCCAAUUAGUUAGUUGGUGAGGUAACGGCUCACCUAGGCAAUGAUAGGUAGGCGGCCUUAACGGGUGGUCGCCCACACUGGGAUUGAGAUACGGCCCAGACUCCUACGGGAGGCAGCAGUCGAGAAUAGUCUACAAUGGUCGGAAGACUGAUAGUGCGACGCCGCGUGAACGAUGAAUCCCUUCGGGGUGUAAAGUUCUUUUAUAUGUGAGCAGUGCUUCUUAUAUUAACAGUAUGGGGAGAGAGAUAUUAGCAUAUGAAUAAGCAACGGCUAACUCCGUGCCAGCAGCCGCGGUAAAACGU